RNAcentral lists this ribosomal RNA (232 nucleotides) under uncultured bacterium. RNAcentral describes it as "partial 16S ribosomal RNA". It matches the Rfam family "Bacterial small subunit ribosomal RNA", at positions 84 to 334 of the family's 1533-position model. The record is from RNAcentral.
GGGGUACACGAGCGGCGGACGGCUGAGUAACACGUAGGAACGUACCCCAAACUGAGGGAUAACUGCCCGAAAGGGUAGCUAAUACCGCAUGUGCUCUUCGGAGUAAAGCUUCGGCGGUUUGGGAACGGCCUGCGCAAGAUUAGCUUGUUGGUGAGGUAAUGGCUCACCAAGGCUACGAUCUUUAGCUGGUCUGAGAGGAUGACCAGCCAGACUGGGACUGAGAACGGCCCAG